This 502-nucleotide ribosomal RNA is filed under the name uncultured bacterium. RNAcentral's name for it is "partial 16S ribosomal RNA". It matches the Rfam family "Bacterial small subunit ribosomal RNA", at positions 28 to 507 of the family's 1533-position model. The record is from RNAcentral.
GACGAACGCUGGCGGCGUGCCUAAUACAUGCAAGUCGAACGAACCGCGACUAGGUGCUUGCACUUGGUCAAGGUGAGUGGCGAACGGGUGAGUAACACGUGGGUAACCUACCUCAUAGUGGGGGAUAACAGUCGGAAACGACUGCUAAUACCGCAUAGGACAUGGGAUCACAUGAUUCUGUGAGGAAAGGUGGCGCAAGCUAUCGCUAAGAGAUGGACCCGCGGUGCAUUAGCUAGUUGGUAGGGUAACGGCCUACCAAGGCGAUGAUGCAUAGCCGACCUGAGAGGGUGAUCGGCCACAUUGGGACUGAGACACGGCCCAAACUCCUACGGGAGGCAGCAGUAGGGAAUCUUCCGCAAUGGACGCAAGUCUGACGGAGCAACGCCGCGUGAGUGAAGAAGGUCUUCGGAUCGUAAAGCCCUGUUGUUAGAGAAGAACAGCGCAUAGAGUAACUGUUAUGCGUGUGACGGUAUCUAACCAGAAAGCCACGGCUAACUACGUG